RNAcentral lists this ribosomal RNA (521 nucleotides) under uncultured bacterium. Its description in RNAcentral is "bacterial SSU rRNA". It matches the Rfam family "Bacterial small subunit ribosomal RNA", at positions 988 to 1509 of the family's 1533-position model. The record is from RNAcentral.
CCAGAGAACUUAGCAGAGAUGCUUUGGUGCCUUCGGGAACUCUGAGACAGGUGCUGCAUGGCUGUCGUCAGCUCGUGUUGUGAAAUGUUGGGGUUAAGUCCCGCAAGAGCGCAACCCUUAUCCUUUGUUGCCAGCGGCUCGGCCGGGAACUCAAAGGAGACUGCCGGUGAUAAACCGGAGGAAGGUGGGGAUGACGUCAAGUCAUCAUGGCCCUUACGGCCAGGGCUACACACGUGCUACAAUGGCGCAUACAAAGAGAAGCGACCUCGCGAGAGCAAGCGGACCUCACAAAGUGCGUCGUAGUCCGGAUUGGAGUCUGCAACUCGACUCCAUGAAGUCGGAAUCGCUAGUAAUCGUAGAUCAGAAUGCUACGGUGAAUACGUUCCCGGGCCUUGUACACACCGCCCGUCACACCAUGGGAGUGGGUUGCAAAAGAAGUAGGUAGCUUAACCUUCGGGAGGGCGCUUACCACUUUGUGAUUCAUGACUGGGGUGAAGUCGUAACAAGGUAAGCGUAGCGAG